Molecule: long non-coding RNA, 317 nt
Organism: Carassius carassius (crucian carp)
Lineage: Eukaryota; Metazoa; Chordata; Actinopteri; Cypriniformes; Cyprinidae
Exons: 3
Source: RefSeq, a predicted model, not a curated record
GCUCUCGAGAUUUGUCAGUAAAAUAACGCCAUAACUGGGUUGAGCUUUUAAUGACAAUAGCAUAAUUAAUCACACUCGAAUAUUUGAGCUUUGAAUCUUUAUGUUGUAGUCUCUUCUGAUAAGCGCAUGUAUUUCAGUGUAUUUUUCUCCUCGCUGUUUUUCCCCUCAAUCAGAUUUCUCGUUGGAUUUUGAAACUUAAAGGCAGAAAUGGCGCAACAUCUGCAAAGCAAGAGAGACCAAAGCCCAAGUGAUCGUCCCAACAUGAGUGAUCUGAGGAUUGUCCUGGUGGGGAAAAACGAGUCAGAAAACAACAGAGU